RNAcentral lists this ribosomal RNA (477 nucleotides) under Eikenella corrodens. RNAcentral's name for it is "bacterial SSU rRNA". It matches the Rfam family "Bacterial small subunit ribosomal RNA", at positions 9 to 474 of the family's 1533-position model. Lineage: Bacteria; Pseudomonadati; Pseudomonadota; Betaproteobacteria; Neisseriales; Neisseriaceae. The record is from RNAcentral.
GAGUUUGAUCAUGGCUCAGAUUGAACGCUGGCGGCAUGCUUUACACAUGCAAGUCGAACGGCAGCGGGGUAGUGCUUGCACUACUGUCCGGCGAGUGGCGAACGGGUGAGUAAUAUAUCGGAACGUACCGAGUAAUGGGGGAUAACCAAUCGAAAGAUUGGCUAGUACCGCAUACGUCCUAAGGGAGAAAGCGGGGGAUCGCAAGACCUCGCGUUAUUCGAGCGGCCGAUAACUGAUUAGCUAGUUGGUGGGGUAAAGGCCUACCAAGGCGACGAUCAGUAGCGGGUCUGAGAGGACGAUCCGCCACACUGGGACUGAGACACGGCCCAGACUCCUACGGGAGGCAGCAGUGGGGAAUUUUGGACAAUGGGGGCAACCCUGAUCCAGCCAUGCCGCGUGUAUGAAGAAGGCCUUCGGGUUGUAAAGUACUUUUGUUAGGGAAGAAAAGGGAAGUGCUAAUACCACUUUUUGCUGACG